UUUCUCCAUCCUCUUAUCUCUGAAACAUCAAAAAAGUUAUUAUAAUUUAUAAACUUUCUCUACUCUACUUUCAGCUUAUAUUUUAACACAAAAAUACAGGGGUAGGUCAAAAGAUCCAAGGGCAUACCAGUGAAGUCGGUAUCACCGAACAAAAGUCAAUUAGUUUUUAAUCAAAUUACCUUUCUGCUUGGCAUUUCAAACUUAAAAAAAAAGAAGAUUUUUGCCAAAUCACUGAGCUGAGCUAGGGCUUUGCAGUAGAUGCCAAAGCUUCAGUCGAAGUUAUCAUAAUGAUGAAAGCCCAGGCUUCAAUUGGUUGUAUCCACUCUGAUUGUUAG
This 335-nucleotide long non-coding RNA is filed under the name Helianthus annuus (common sunflower). RNAcentral describes it as "hypothetical non coding rna". Lineage: Eukaryota; Viridiplantae; Streptophyta; Magnoliopsida; Asterales; Asteraceae. The record is from RNAcentral.